CAAAACUGUUGUCGCUGAGCAGGUAAACCAGGAUGCCUGGUGCCGGCAGCAAGCCCCAGGCCAGAUGGACCCUGUGGCGGUCCAAGGGGAGGAGGUAGGGGUUCAGGUCUGCAACUCACAUCACUGAUGCUCUGCUCCCUACCCUGCCAUGGCCUCAUGGAGGGAGGACGGGUGCUAACUGCUCUGAUCUCCUCUGGAGAAUAAAACAGGGAUAGUGCAUCUUCCAGUACAGUGAGGUUGAAGCCUAAGCACUUGGAGCAGCCCAAAUGCACCCUCUGCCCAGAGGCUUCUUCUCUAGGAAAAGGAGGCUGGUGUUCCUGAUGGUCAUGCCAGAACUAAAGGGGAAGGGCCAGUGUGGGUUAGCAGUGGUUAGAAGAUCCACAUCUCCAUCUAGAUUAAUUCCCAAGGGUACCAGAUCUUAAUCAACCUUUGCCGCUCUGGGGCUUCUUUAAAGCACAAGUGUAUUAAAGGUAUUUGCAGGUAGUCCUCAUCCCCUUUUGCUAAAGGACCCCGCAACCACAGUGAGGGAGAGGAAGACUCCAUACCUGAAAAGCAGACAUGUUUGCAGAUCAGACCUGAGGUGCACAGACACAGCCCCAUGUGUACACACCUGUGCCCUGGAAAAGAUGAAAUCAGGCAUCAAUGAACUCAUCUGGGCAGAACAGUGCUGUCAGGACCAAACUUUGGUUUUGGAGUCACCUACAAGAGAUCAGCCCAGCACCUGCCUGGGGCCUGCGAUGGAUGGUAGGGUCGGUCCGGAGACCCCAGCUUCUGGACAUACAGGUUUCUGCUUCUGAAGCCUCCCCAGAAGCUGCUGGGAAUCCAUCCUGCAGAUCCUGUGAUGCUAUCAGCUGCAUUUACGAGAAGUAAGGUACCUGAAGAUUUCAGUAGUCAGAGUGACAGGGCUUCAGAAGCUGUUCUCUGGAUCGUGCAUUCUCCUGCAUCUUGAACUAUCUGGAUUUGAUCAUCUGCAAGGAUAUUUGCAAUGGAAAUCUUGCAUACCUGUGACCUGAAUGGGUAU
Chroicocephalus ridibundus (black-headed gull) is the source of this 1021-nucleotide long non-coding RNA. RefSeq lists it as uncharacterized. The transcript is spliced from 3 exons. The record is from RefSeq and is a predicted model, not a curated record. Lineage: Eukaryota; Metazoa; Chordata; Aves; Charadriiformes; Laridae.